GGAUUUAGGAGAAUUGAAUGGCACCGUGAUUAGAUCAUGUCAAUACGAGUUUGUAGACACAUAGUGGGCUUAAAUCAGAAUUGUAAUGAAGAAGUUACAAUCAACGGAAGCCUAGUGGCAUAAUCAUAAAUAUUUUGAAGUUUAGUUUUUAAAUUCUGAUUUUCUUUCCUCUCCCCCCCCACCCUUCGUGCAACACAGUAGCCGGCCAAUUCUUUGGCCGGCCAUCACCUCAUAAGGCCACCAAAUUCAACGGGACUGGCACCAAAAUGCUCAGCCAACCAACCUUUUCUCAACCCACCCCACCUCUGACCAAGGCUGCAUCUCUGGUUACCGAAAAAGCCCAAAACUGACUAGUUUUUCCCAAACUUUUCCGACACUCGUUCCGGCAAUUUCGGC
Molecule: long non-coding RNA, 396 nt
Filed under: Prunus persica (peach)
Lineage: Eukaryota; Viridiplantae; Streptophyta; Magnoliopsida; Rosales; Rosaceae
Description: long non-coding RNA (PPER_LNC004284)
Source: RNAcentral